RNAcentral lists this ribosomal RNA (253 nucleotides) under uncultured bacterium. Its description in RNAcentral is "partial 16S ribosomal RNA". It matches the Rfam family "Bacterial small subunit ribosomal RNA", at positions 524 to 776 of the family's 1533-position model. The record is from RNAcentral.
UACAGGGGGUGCAAACGUUGCUCGGAAUCAUUGGGCGUAAAGCGCACGUAGGCGGUUCGUUAUGUCGGAUGUGAAAGCCCUUGGCUUAACCGAGGAAGUGCAUCCGAAACUGGCGAGCUAGAGUACGAAAGAGGAUCGCGGAAUUCCCGGUGUAGAGGUGAAAUUCGUAGAUAUCGGGAGGAACACCGGUGGCGAAGGCGGCCAGCUGGCGCUGACCUGACGCUGAGGCGCGAAGGCAUGGGGAGCGAACGGG